RNAcentral lists this long non-coding RNA (1452 nucleotides) under Coturnix japonica (Japanese quail). RNAcentral's name for it is "lncRNA (ENSCJPG00005002010.1)". The record is from RNAcentral. Lineage: Eukaryota; Metazoa; Chordata; Aves; Galliformes; Phasianidae.
GCUCACCUGAAUCCAGAGGGUCAGAGUGUCCGGGCGACUGGGAGCUGAUGGGGGGGGAACUUGGGGGUCCCCAUGGUGGUGGCUGUGGCCAUGGUGGGGGUCCCCAUGUUGAUGAUGGGGGUCCCCAUGUUGAUGGCCAUGGCCAUGGUAGGGGUCUCUAUGGGGGUCCCCAUGGUGGUGGCCAUGAUGGGGGUCCUCAUGAUGAUGGUAGGGGUCCCCAUGGCCAUGAUGGGGGUCCCCAUGGCUGUGGUGGGGGUCCCUAUGGGGGUCCCCAUGUUGAUGGCCAUGAUGGGGGUCCCCAUGGCCAUGAUGGGGGUCCCCAUGGCCAUAGUAGGGGUCCGUAUGGGGGUCCCCAUGGCCAUAGUGGGGGUCCCUAUGGGGGUCCCCAUGUGAAUGGCCAUGGUGGGGGUCCCCAUGGCUGUGGUGGGGGUCCCUAUGGGGGUCCCCAUGUUGAUGGUGGGGGUCCCUAUGGGGGUCCCCAUGGCUGUGGUGGGGGUCUCUAUGGGGGUCCCCAUGUUGAUGGCCAUGGUGGGGGUCCCCAUGAUGAUGAUGGGGGUCCCUAUGGGGGUCCCCAUGGCCAUAAUGGGGGUCCGUAUGGGGGUCCCCAUGUUGAUGGCCAUGGUGGGGGUCCCCAUGAUGAUGGUGGGGGUCCCUAUGGGGGUCCGUAUGGGGGUCCCCAUGUUGAUGGCCAUGGUGGGGGUCCCCAUGGCCAUAGUGGGGGUCCCUAUGGGGGUCCCCAUGGCUGUGGUGGGGGUCCCUAUGGGGGUCCCCAUGUUGAUGGUGGGGGUCCCUAUGGGGGUCCCCAUGGCCAUAAUGGGGGUCCGUAUGGGGGUCCCCAUGUUGAUGGCCAUGGUGGGGGUCCCCAUGGCCAUAGUGGGGGUCCCUAUGGGGGUCCCCAUGGUGGGGGUCCCCAUGUGAGUGUCCAUGCUGGGGGUCUUCGUGUUGGUGCCCACGACUAAACAUGGCCGUCAAGGUGUGGCCGUGGCCGCUGUCCACAUGGAGCUGGUGCUGACCAUGGCCGAGGUCCUCCCGGUGAUGGCCGAGGUCCUCCCGGUGAUGGCCGAAGUCCUCCCGGUGAUGGCGGAAGUCCUCCCGGUGAUGGCGGAAGUCCUCCUGGUGAUGGCGGUCCCCGUGAGAGGCGGAAGGGAGGAGGCAGAGAGCCAGAGUGGCGGCCAUGAUGGCGGCCAUGUUGGAGGCCGCUGGUUCCCGGGGCUGGAGGACCGUCGCCAUUGAAGCUGUGGGGGGAGAUCUGCCAUUGGGGUCAAUGGUGGGACUAUAGAGAUGGGGGAGAUAGAGCGGCUAUGGGGGGAGAUCUGCCAUUGGGAUCAAUGGUGGGAUCAUAGAGAUGGGGGAGAUAGAGCGGCUAUGGGGAGAGAUCUGCCAUUGGGGUCAAUGGUGGGAUCAUAGAGAUGGGGGAGAUAGAGCGGCUAUGGGGGGAGAUCUGCCAUUGGG